RNAcentral lists this ribosomal RNA (248 nucleotides) under uncultured bacterium. RNAcentral's name for it is "partial 16S ribosomal RNA". It matches the Rfam family "Bacterial small subunit ribosomal RNA", at positions 1068 to 1314 of the family's 1533-position model. The record is from RNAcentral.
UGAGAUGUUGGGUUAAAGUCCCGUAACGAGCGCAACCCUUGUCCUUAGUUACCAGCACGUAAUGGUGGGCACUCUAAGGAGACUGCCGGUGACAAACCGGAGGAAGGUGGGGAUGACGUCAAGUCAUCAUGGCCCUUACGGCCUGGGCUACACACGUGCUACAAUGGUCGGUACAGAGGGUUGCCAAGCCGCGAGGUGGAGCUAAUCCCAGAAAACCGAUCGUAGUCCGGAUCGCAGUCUGCAACUCG